UUUCUGUGUGAAUGGUUUAAGUACGAGGCUUUGCUCUCAGUGAGAGGCGGUUGGUUUCAGGGUGGUUGACUCGGUCCUUCCUGAUAGCUAGCGGAGCCAGUGACUACUAAUUACGUUUUUUAUGUUGGCAACAACCUUUAUACCAAUAUAUCUGCUUUUUUUCUUGUCUGUGGGCUAUGAUGAUAUAUUCUUUGAGCCUGAAAAGUUGGACUGAAGGAGAAAGACUCAAUUUCUUGGCAAGGCAACCUUUUGUUGUUGUAGCGCCGAUGUUGUGGUGUUUCUUUCCUGUCCAAUUUGAAGGCAUAUCUGAUCUGAGCCUUCUCUUUCUCCAGAUUUCUCUGGUUCUGUUUGGGCCUCCAUCCUCUACAAUCUCUCACUCUUCAUAUUCUUCGAUUUUUAUUCUGUUAUUUUUUUUCUAAAAUGAAAAGUUGAUUGCUUUUGCAUGAAAUAUGUNNNNNNNNNNNNNNNNNNNNNNNNNNNNNNNNNNNNNNNNNNNNNNNNNNNNNNNNNNNNNNNNNNNNNNNNNNNNNNNNNNNNNNNNNNNNNNNNNNNNNNNNNNNNNNNNNNNNNNNNNNNNNNNNNNNNNNNNNNNNNNNNNNNNNNNNNNNNNNNNNNNNNNNNNNNNNNNNNNNNNNNNNNNNNNNNNNNNNNNNNNNNNNNNNNNNNNNNNNNNNNNNNNNNNNNNNNNNNNNNNNNNNNNNNNNNNNNNNNNNNNNNNNNNNNNNNNNNNNNNNNNNNNNNNNNNNNNNNNNNNNNNNNNNNNNNNNNNNNNNNNNNNNNNNNNNNNNNNNNNNNNNNNNNNNNNNNNNNNNNNNNNNNNNNNNNNNNNNNNNNNNNNNNNNNNNNNCGGGGGGGGGCGGUUGUUUAAGGCUGGUUGACUCGUUGCUCUCUGAUAGCUAGCGGAGCCGGUGACUACUGAUUAUGUUUCUUAUGUUGGUGAACUUUGGGUGGGUGACUUGUGAGCUUUUUGAUUUUUAGAUAUUUUGUGAUUUUCAAUCUUCUGCUUGAAAAAGGCGAAUUGAGCCUCCUUUUAUAUGCUUAAAUCAAGGUUGGCUUUAGAUUGCUUUGGGUGGUGACCCGUGAGCUUCUGAUUUUGAGCUAUUUUGUGAUAUUCAAUCUUCUGCUUGAAAAGGGGGAAUUUGAGCCUCCUUUUAUAUACUUAAAUCAAGGCUGGCUUUAGUUUGCUUUUGAUGGGUGACUCGUGAGCUUCUGAUUUUGAGCUCUUUUCCGAUGUUCAAUCUUCUGCUUGAAAAGGGUGAAUGUGAGCCUCCUAUUAUAUGCAUAAAUCAAGGUUGGCUUUAGAUUGCUUUGGGGGGUGACCUGUGAGCUUCUAAUUUUGAGCUAUUUUGUGAUAUUCAAUCUUCUGCAUGAAAAAGGCAAAUUUGAGCCUCCUUUUAUACGCUUGAGUCUCCUUUUAUACGCUUGAGUUUUCUUUUGUGAUGUUCAAUCCUCUGCAUGAAAAAGGCGAAUGUGAGCCUCCAUUGUGAUGUUCAAUCUUCUGCUCGAAAAAGGCGAAUGUGAGCCUCCAUUGUGAUGUUCAAUCUUCUGCUCGAAAAAGGCGAAUGUGAGCCUCCAUUGUGAUGUUCAAUCUUCUGCUCGAAAAAGGCGAAUGUGAGCCUCCAUUGUGAUGUUCAAUCUUCUGCUCGAAAAAGGCGAAUGUGAGCCUCCAUUGUGAUGUUCAAUCUUCUGCUCGAAAAAGGCGAAUGUGAGCCUCCAUUGUGAUGUUCAAUCUUCUGCUCGAAAAAGGCGAAUGUGAGCCUCCAUUGUGAUGUUCAAUCUUCUGCUCGAAAAAGGCGAAUGUGAGCCUCCAUUGUGAUGUUCAAUCUUCUGCUCGAAAAAGGCGAAUGUGAGCCUCCAUUGUGAUGUUCAAUCUUCUGCUCGAAAAAGGCGAAUGUGAGCCUCCAUUGUGAUGUUCAAUCUUCUGCUCGAAAAAGGCGAAUGUGAGCCUCCAUUGUGAUGUUCAAUCUUCUGCUCGAAAAAGGCGAAUGUGAGCCUCCAUUGUGAUGUUCAAUCUUCUGCUUGACAAGGCAAAUUUGAGCCUCCUUUAUAUGCUUAACAAGGCUUGCUUGAGUUUACUUUGGUUGGGUGAGUCUUGAGAUUUUGAUUUUGAGCUAUUUUGUGAUACUCAAUCUUUUGCAUGAAAAAGGCAAAUUUGAGCCUCCUUUUAUAGGCUUGAGUUUUCUUUUGUGAUGUUCAAUCUUCUGCUUGAAAAAGGCGAAUNNNNNNNNNNNNNNNNNNNNNNNNNNNNNNNNNNNNNNNNNNNNNNNNNNNNNNNNNNNNNNNNNNNNNNNNNNNNNNNNNNNNNNNNNNNNNNNNNNNNNNNNNNNNNNNNNNNNNNNNNNNNNNNNNNNNNNNNNNNNNNNNNNNNNNNNNNNNNNNNNNNNNNNNNNNNNNNNNNNNNNNNNNNNNNNNNNNNNNNNNNNNNNNNNNNNNNNNNNNNNNNNNNNNNNNNNNNNNNNNNNNNNNNNNNNNNNNNNNNNNNNNNNNNNNNNNNNNNNNNNNNNNNNNNNNNNNNNNNNNCGAGUAUCCUUUGUGAUGUUCAAUCUUCUGCUUGAAAAAGGCGAAUGUGAGCCUCCUAUUAUAUGCAUAAAUCAAGGUUGGCUUUAGAUUGCUUUGUGGGGUGACCUGUGAGCUUCUAAUUUUGAGCUNNNNNNNNNNNNNNNNNNNNNNNNNNNNNNNNNNNNNNNNNNNNNNNNNNNNNNNNNNNNNNNNNNNNNNNNNNNNNNNNNNNNNNNNNNNNNNNNNNNNNNNNNNNNNNNNNNNNNNNNNNNNNNNNNNNNNNNNNNNUGGUUGGGUGACUCUUGAGAUUCUGAUUUUGAGCUAUUUUGUGAUAUUCAAUCUUCUGCAUGAAAAAGGCAAAUUUGAGCCUCCUUUUAUACGCUUGAGUUUUCUUUUGUGAUGUUCAUUCUUCUGCUUGAAAAAGGGGAAUCUGAGCCUCCUUUUAAUAUGCUUAAAUCAAGGGAUGCUUGAGUUAACUUUGGUUAGGUGACCUGUGAGAUUCUGAUUUUGAGCUAUUUUGUGAUAUUCAAUCUUCUGCAUAAAAAAGGCAAAUUUGAGGCUCAUUUUAUAUGCUUAACAAGGCUUGCUUGAGUUUACUUUGGUUGGGUGACUCUUGAGAUUCUGAUUUUGAGCUAUUUUGUGAUANNNNNNNNNNNNNNNNNNNNNNNNNNNNNNNNNNNNNNNNNNNNNNNNNNNNNNNNNNNNNNNNNNNNNNNNNNNNNNNNNNNNNNNNNNNNNNNNNNNNNNNNNNNNNNNNNNNNNNNNNNNNNNNNNNNNNNNNNNNNNNNNNNNNNNNNNNNNNNNNNNNNNNNNNNNNNNNNNNNNNNNNNNNNNNNNNNNNNNNNNNNNNNNNNNNNNNNNNNNNNNNNNNNNNNNNNNNNNNNNNNNNNNNNNNNNNNNNNNNNNNNNNNNNNNNNNNNNNNNNNNNNNNNNNNNNNNNNNNNNNNNNNNNNNNNNNNNNNNNNNNNNNNNNNNNNNNNNNNNNNNNNAAGUUUUCUCUUGUGAUGUUCAAUCUUCUGCUUGAAAAAGGCGAAUCUGAGUCUCCUUUGUGAUGUUCAAUCUUCUGCUUGAAAAAGGCGAAUGUGAGCCUCCUAUUAUAUGCAUAAAUCAAGGUUGGCUUUAGAUUGCUUUGUGGGGUGACCUGUGAGCUUCUAAUUUUGAGCUAUUUUGUGAUAUUCAAUCUUCUGCUCGAAAAAGGCGAAUUUGAGCCUCCUUUUAUAUGCUUAACAAGGCUUGCUUGAGUUUACUCUGGUUGGGUGACUCUUGAGAUUCUGAUUUUGAGCUAUUUUGUGAUAUUCAAUCUUCUGCAUAAAAAAGGCAAAUUUGAGGCUCCUUUUAUACGCUUGAGUUUUCUUUUGUGAUGUUCAAUCUUCUGCUUGAAAAAGGCGAAUCUGAUCCUCCUUUAAUAUGCUUAAAUCAAGGCAUGCUUGAGUUUACUUUGGUUAGGUGACCUGUGAGAUUCUGAUUUUGAGCUAUUUUGUGAUAUUCAAUCUUCUGCUUGAAAAAGGCGAAUUUUUGAUCCUUGUUUCUCAUGUUGGCAACAGCCCUUAUACCAAUAUAUCUGCUUUCUUUCUUGUGUGUGUGAGUGGCUGUUUGGAGAACUUUGGGUGGGUGACUCGUGCUUUAUAUGCUUGAGUUUUCUUUUGUGAUGUUCAAUCUUCUGCUUGAAAAAGGCGAAUCUGAGUCUCCUUUGUCAUGUUCAAUCUUCUGCUUGAAAAAGGCAAAUGUGAGCCUCCUAUUAUAUGCAUAAAUCAAGGUUGGCUUUAGAUUGCUUUGUGGGGUGACCUGUGAGCUUCUAAUUUUGAGCUGGUGAGCUUCUAAUUUUGAGCUAUUUUGUGAUAUUCAAUCUUCUGCUUGAAAAAGGCGAAUUUGAGCCUCCUUUUAUAUGCUUAACAAGGCUUGCUUGAGUUUACUGUGGUUGGGUGACUCUUGAGAUUCUGAUUUUGAGCUAUUUUGUGAUAUUCAAUCUUCUGCAUGAAAAAGGCAAAUUUGAGCCUCCUUUUAUUUUUAUACGCUCGAGUUUUCUUUUAUGAUGUUCAAUCUUCUGCUUGAAAAAGGCGAAUCUGAGCCUCCUUUGUGAUGUUCAAUCUUCUGCUUGAAAAAGGCGAAUGUGAGCCUCCUAUUAUAUGCAUAAAUCAAGGUUGGCUUUAGAGUGCUUUGGGGGGUGACCUGUGAGCUUCUAAUUUUGAGCUAUUUCGUGAUAUUCAAUUUUUUAAUUUUGAAAAAGGCAAAUUUGAGCCUCCUUUUAUAUGCUUAACAAGGCUUGCUUGAGUUUAAUGUGGUUGGUUGACUCUUGAGAUUCUGAUUUUGAGCUAUUUCGUGAUAUUCAAUCUUUUGCAUGAAAAAGGCAAAUUUGAGCCUGCUUUUAUACGCUUGAGUUUUCUUUUGUGAUGUUCAAUCGUCUGCUUGAAACAGGCGAAUAUGAGCCUCUUUUAAUAUGCUUAAAUCAAGGCAUGCUUGAGUUUACUUUGGUUAGGUGACCUGUGAGAUUCUGAUUUUGAGCUAUUUUGUGAUAUUCAAUCUUCUGCUUGAAAAAGGCGAAUUUAAGCCUCCUUUUAUAUGCUUAACAAGGCUUGCUUGGAAUUUAAGCCUCCUUUUAUGCGCUUGAGUUUUCUUUUGUGAUGUUCAAUCUUCUGCUUUAAAAAGGCGAAUCUGUCUCCUUUUAUAUGCUUAAAUCAAGGCAUGCUUGAGUUUACUUUGGUUAGGUGACUCAUGAGAUUCUGAUUUUGAGUUAUUUUGUGAUAUCAAUCUUCUUCUUGAAAAAGGCGAGUUUGAGCCUCCUUUUAUACGCUUAAAUCAAGGCUGGCUUUAGUUUGCUUUCGAUGGGUGAUUCGUGAGCUUCUGAUUUUGAGCUCUUUUCCGAUGUUCAAUCUUCUGCUUGAAAAAGGCAAAUCUGAGCCUCAUUUUAUGUGCUUAAAUCAAGGACGGCUUGAGUUUUACAUUUGUUGAACAUUGUUGGUAUGUGAAUAAAGUUUUGCAUAAUUUUGAUCCUUGUCUCUCAUGUUGGCAACAGCCCUUAUACCAAUAUAUCUGCUUUCUUUCUUGUGUGUGUGAGUGGCUGUUUGGAGAACUUUGGGUGGGUGACUCGUGAGCUUUUGUAUUUUUAGCUCUUUUAUGAUGUUCAAUCUUCUGCUUGAAAAAGAAGGCUAAUCUGAGCUUUCCUUUAUAUGCUUAAAUCAAGGCAUGCUUGAGUUUACUUUGGUUGGGUGACUCGUGAGAUUAGGAUUUUGAGCUAUGUUGUGAUAUUCAAUCUUCUGCUUGAAAAAGGCGAAUUUGAGCCUCCCUUUAUACGCUUAAAUCAAGGCUGGCUUUAGUUUGCUUUCGGCAGUUGACUUGUGAGCUUCUAAUUUUGAGCUCUUUUCCGAUAUGAAUCAAUCUUCUGUUUGGAAAAGGUGAAUCUGAGCCUCAUUUUAAAUGCUUAAAUCAAGGACGGCUUGAGUUUUACAUUCGGUGGACGUUGUUGGUAUGUGAAUAAAGUUUUGCAUAAUUUUGAUCCUUGUUUCUCAUGUUGGCAACAGCCCUUAUACCAAUAUAUCUGCUUCCUUUCUUGUGUGUGUGAAUGGCUGUCUGGAGAACUUUUGGUGGGUGACUCGUGAGCUUCUGUAUUUUGAGCUCUUUUCUGAUGUUCAAUCUUCUACUUGAAAAAGACGAAUCUGAGCCUUAUUUAAUAUGCUUAAAGAAAUGUCUGCUUUAGUUUUACAUUCGGUGAAUGUUGUUGGUGUGUGAAUAAAGUUAUUCAUAAUUUUGAUCCUUGUUUCUCAUAAUAUGCUUAAAUCAAGGAUGGCUUAAGUUUCCUUUGGAUGGGUGACUCGUGACCUAAUUUUUGAGCUCUUUUUUUAUGGUUAAUUUUCUGCUUGAAAAAUGCGAAUCUGAGCCUCCAUUUAUAUUCUUAAAUAAAGGUCAGGCAUUAGCUUUACAUUUGGUGAAUGUUGUUGGUAUGUGGACAAAGUUUGGCAUAAUUUUGAUCCUUUUUUCUCAUGUUGGCAACAGCCCUUACGCCAAUAUAUCUGCUUUCUUUCUUGUGUGUGUGAUUGGCUGUCUGGCGAACUUUGGGUGGGUGACUCUUGAGCUUCUGAUUUUGAGCUCUUUUGUGAUUUCAAUCUUCUGCUUGAAAAAGGCAAAUCUGAGCCUCCUUUUCCAUGCUUAAAAUCAAGGUCGGCUUUAGUUUGUUUUGGUUGGGUGACUCGUGAGUUUCUGAUUUUGAGCUCUUUUGUGAUGUUAAAUCUUCUGCUUGGAAAAGGCGAAUAUGAGCCUCCUUUUGAAUGCUUAAAUCAAGCAUGCUUGAGUUUACUUUUGUUGGGCGACUCGUGAGCUUCUGAUUUUGAGCUCUUUUGUGAUAUUCAAUCUUCUGCUUGAAAAAGGCGAAUCUGAGCCUCCUUCUAUACACUUAAAUCGAGGUCGGCUUUAGGUUGCCUUGGGUGGGUGACUCGUGAGCUUCUGAUUUUGAUCUCUUUCGUGAUGUUCAUUCUUCUGCUUUAAAAAGGCGAGUUUGCUCUCGUUUUAUAUGCUUAAGUGAUUGUUGGCUUUUAGAUUGCUUUGGGCGGUGACUCGUGAGCUUCUGAUUUUGAGCUACUUUAUGAUGUGCAAUCUUCUGCUUGAGAAAGGCGAAUUUGAGCCUCCUUUUAUAUGCUUAAAUCAAGGUUGGCUUUAGUUUGCUUUGGAUGGGUGACUCGUGACCUUCAAAUUUUUUAGCUCUUUUUUAUGUUUAAUCUUCUGCUUGAAAAAGGCGAAUCUGAGCCUCCUUUUAUAUUCUUAAAUAAAGGUCAGGCUCUAGUUUGACAUUUGGUGAAUGUUGUUGGUUUGUGGACAAAGUUUGGCAUAAUUUUGAUCCUUUUUUCUCAUGUUUGCAACAGCCCUUAUGCCAAUAUAAUCUGCUUUCUUUCUUGUGCGUUUGAUUGGCUGUCUGGUGAACUUUGGGUGGGUGACUCUUGAGCUUUUGAUUUUGAGCUCUUUUGUGAUUUCAAUCUUUUGCUUGAAAAAGGUGAAUCUGAGCCUCCUUUUCUAUACUUAAAUCAAGGUUGGCUGUAGUUUAUUUUGGUUGGGUGACUCGUGAGUUUCUGAUUUUGAGCUCUUUUGUGAAUUAAAUCUUCUGUAAUCUGAGCCUCCUUUUAGAUGCUUAAAUCCAGGUCGGCUUGAGAUUGCCUUGGGUGGGUGACUCGUGAGCUUGUGAUUUGAUCUCUUUUGUGAUGUUCAAUCUUCUAAUUAAAAAAGGCGAAUCUGAUCCUCCUUUUAUAUGCUUAAAUCAAGGUUGGCUUUAGUUUGCUUUGGAUGGGUGACUCGUGACCUUCAAAUUUCUGAGCUCUUUUUUAUGUUUAAUCUUCUUCUUGAAAAAUGUGAAUCUGAGUCUCCUUUUAUAUGCUUAAAUCAAGGUCGGCUUUAGUUUUACAUUCGGUGAAUGUUGUUGGUUGGUGAACAAAGUUUGGCAUAAUUUUGAUCAUUGUUUCUCAUGUUGGCAACUGCCCUUACGCCAAUAUAUCUGCUUUCUUUCUUUCUUGUGUGUGUGAGUGGCUGUCUGGCAAACUUUGGCUGGGUGACUCGUGAGCUUCUGAUUUGAGCUCUUUUGUGAUGUUUACUCUUCUGCUUGAAAAUGCGAAUUUCAGCCUCCUUUUGUAUGCUUAAAUCAAUGUUGGCUUCAGUUUUACAUUCAGUGAAUGUUGUUGGUAUGUAAACAAAGUUUAGCAUAAUAUGGAUCCUUGUUUCUCAUGUUGGCGUUGUUGGUAUGUGGACAAAGUUUGGCAUAAUUUUGAUCCUUGUUUCUCAUGUUGGCGUUGUUGGUAUGUGGACAAAGUUUGGCAUAAUUUUGAUCCUUGUUUCUCAUGUUGGCGUUGUUGGUAUGUGGACAAAGUUUGGCAUAAUUUUGAUCCUUGUUUCUCAUGUUGGCGUUGUUGGUAUGUGGACAAAGUUUGGCAUAAUUUUGAUCCUUGUUUCUCAUGUUGGCGUUGUUGGUAUGUGGACAAAGUUUGGCAUAAUUUUGAUCCUUGUUUCUCAUGUUGGCGUUGUUGGUAUGUGGACAAAGUUUGGCAUAAUUUUGAUCCUUGUUUCUCAUGUUGGCGUUGUUGGUAUGUGGACAAAGUUUGGCAUAAUUUUGAUCCUUGUUUCUCAUGUUGGCGUUGUUGGUAUGUGGACAAAGUUUGGCAUAAUUUUGAUCCUUGUUUCUCAUGUUGGCGUUGUUGGUAUGUGGACAAAGUUUGGCAUAAUUUUGAUCCUUGUUUCUCAUGUUGGCGUUGUUGGUAUGUGGACAAAGUUUGGCAUAAUUUUGAUCCUUGUUUCUCAUGUUGGCGUUGUUGGUAUGUGGACAAAGUUUGGCAUAAUUUUGAUCCUUGUUUCUCAUGUUGGCGUUGUUGGUAUGUGGACAAAGUUUGGCAUAAUUUUGAUCCUUGUUUCUCAUGUUGGCGUUGUUGGUAUGUGGACAAAGUUUGGCAUAAUUUUGAUCCUUGUUUCUCAUGUUGGCGUUGUUGGUAUGUGGACAAAGUUUGGCAUAAUUUUGAUCCUUGUUUCUCAUGUUGGCGUUGUUGGUAUGUGGACAAAGUUUGGCAUAAUUUUGAUCCUUGUUUCUCAUGUUGGCGUUGUUGGUAUGUGGACAAAGUUUGGCAUAAUUUUGAUCCUUGUUUCUCAUGUUGGCGUUGUUGGUAUGUGGACAAAGUUUGGCAUAAUUUUGAUCCUUGUUUCUCAUGUUGGCGUUGUUGGUAUGUGGACAAAGUUUGGCAUAAUUUUGAUCCUUGUUUCUCAUGUUGGCGUUGUUGGUAUGUGGACAAAGUUUGGCAUAAUUUUGAUCCUUGUUUCUCAUGUUGGCGUUGUUGGUAUGUGGACAAAGUUUGGCAUAAUUUUGAUCCUUGUUUCUCAUGUUGGCGUUGUUGGUAUGUGGACAAAGUUUGGCAUAAUUUUGAUCCUUGUUUCUCAUGUUGGCGUUGUUGGUAUGUGGACAAAGUUUGGCAUAAUUUUGAUCCUUGUUUCUCAUGUUGGCGUUGUUGGUAUGUGGACAAAGUUUGGCAUAAUUUUGAUCCUUGUUUCUCAUGUUGGCGUUGUUGGUAUGUGGACAAAGUUUGGCAUAAUUUUGAUCCUUGUUUCUCAUGUUGGCGUUGUUGGUAUGUGGACAAAGUUUGGCAUAAUUUUGAUCCUUGUUUCUCAUGUUGGCGUUGUUGGUAUGUGGACAAAGUUUGGCAUAAUUUUGAUCCUUGUUUCUCAUGUUGGCGUUGUUGGUAUGUGGACAAAGUUUGGCAUAAUUUUGAUCCUUGUUUCUCAUGUUGGCGUUGUUGGUAUGUGGACAAAGUUUGGCAUAAUUUUGAUCCUUGUUUCUCAUGUUGGCGUUGUUGGUAUGUGGACAAAGUUUGGCAUAAUUUUGAUCCUUGUUUCUCAUGUUGGCAACAGCCCUUAUAUCAGUAUAUUUGCUUUCUUUCUUUCUUAUGGGUGUGAGUGGCUAUCUGGCGAACUUUGGGUGAGUGACUCGUGAGCUUCUGAUUUUUAACUUUUUUGUGAUGUUCAAUCCUCUACUUGAAAAAGGUGAAUUGGAGCCUCCUUUUAUAUGCUUAAAUCAAGGGUGGCUUGGCUUUGGUUGGGUGACUCAUGGCCUACAUUCACCGAAUGUUGUUGGUUUGUGAAUAAAGUUUUGCGUAAUUUUGAUCCUUGUUUCUCAUGUUGGCAACAGCCCUUACACGAAUAUAUGUGCUUUCUUUCUUGUGUGUCUGAGUGGCUGUCUGGCGAACUUUGGGUGGGUGACUCUGUGACCUUCUGAUUUUGAGCAGUUUUGUGAUGUUCAGUCUUCUGCUUGAAAAAGGCAAAUCUCAGCCUCUUUUUGUUUGCUUAAAUCCAGGUCGGUUUUAGUUUUACAUUCGGUGAAUGGUAUGUGAACAAAGUUUGGGGUAAUUUUUAUCCUCCUUGUUCUUGGUAUGUGAACAAAGUUUGACAUAAUUUUGAUCCUUGUUUCUCAUGUUGGCAACAGCCCUUAUACCAAUAUAUCUGCUUUCUUCCUUGUGUGUGUGGCUGUCUGUCGAACUUUGGGUAGGUAACUCGUGAACUUCUGAUUUUGUACUUUGUUGUGAUGUUCAAUCUUCUGUUUGAAAAAGGCGAAUCAGAGCCUCGUUUUAUAUGCUUAAAUAAAGGUUGUCUUUAGUUUUACAUUCGGUGAAUGUUGUUUGUAUCUGAACAAUGUUUGGCAUAAUUUUGAUCCUUGUUUCUCAUGUUGGCAACAACCCUUAUACCAAUAUAUCACCUUUAUUGUGUGUGUGAGUGGCUGUCUGGAGAAUUUUGGGUGGGUGACUUGUGAGCUCCUAAUUUUGAGCUCUUUUGUGAUGUUCAAUCUUCUGCUUGGAAAAGGCGAAUUUGAGCCUCCUUUUAUAUGCUUAAAUGAUGGUCGGUUUUAGUUUUACAUUCGUUGAAUGUUGUUGGUAUGAGAACAAAGUUGGGCACAAUUUUGAUUUUUGUUUCACAUGAUGGCAACAGCCCGUAUACCAAUAUAUCUGCUUUCUUUCUUGUGUGUGUGAGUGAGUCUCCGGCGAACUUUGGGGGGUGACUCGUGAGCUCUUUUGUGAUAUUCAAUCUUCUGCUUGAAAGAUGCGAAUUUGAGUCUCCUUUUAUAUGCUUAAACAAAAGUCAGCUUUAGUUUUACAUUCGGUGAAUGUUGUUGGUAUGAGAACAAAGUUGGGCACAAUUUUGAUUUUUGUUUCACAUGAUGGCAACAGCCCGUAUACCAGUAUAUCUGCUUUCUUUCUUGUGUGUGUGAGUGAGUCUCCGGCGAACUUUGGGGGGUGACUCGUGAGCUCUUUUGUGAUAUUCAAUCUUCUGCUUGAAAGAUGCGAAUUUGAGUCUCCAGCGAACUUUGGUGGGGGACUCGGGAGCUUCUGAUUUUGAGCUCUUGUGUGAUGUUCAAUCUUCUGCUUGAAAAAUGCGAAUUUGAGUCUCCUUUUAUAUGCUUAAACAAAAGUCAGCUUUAGUUUUACAUUGGAUGCUUUUUUUAUUUUUUUGGUAUGUGAACAAAGUUUGGCAUUAUUUUGAUCCUUUUUUUUCAUUUUGCCAACUGCCCUCAUACGAAUAUAUCUGCUUUCUUUCUUGUGUGUGGUUGUCUGGCGAACUUUGGGGGGGGGACUCGUGAGUUUGUUUUUGAGUUCUUUUGUGAUGGUGGGUGACUCGUGAGUUUGUUUUUGAGUUCUUUUGUGAUGUUCAAUCUUCUGAUUGAAAAAGGCUAGUCUGAGCCUCCUUUUCUAUGCUUAAAAUCAAGGUCGGCUUUUUAGUUUACUUUGGUGAGGUGACUCUGUGAGCUUCUGAUUUUGAGUGUUUUUUGUGAUGUUCAAUCUUCUGCUUGAAAAUUGCGAAUUUGAGUCUCCUUUUAUUUGCUUAGAUCAAGGUCGGCUUAGUUUUACAUUCGGUGAAUGUUGUUGGUAUGUGAACAAAGUUUGGUAUAAUUUUGAUACUUGUUUCUCAUGUUGGCAACAGCCCUAACACCAAUAUAUUUUCUUUCUUUCUUGUGUGUGUGAGUGGCUGUCUGGCAAACUUUGGGUGGGUGACUCGUGAGCUUCUUAUUUGAGCUCUUUUGUGAUGUUCAUUCUUCUACUUGAAAAUGCGAAUUUGAGCCUCCUUUUGUAUGCUUAAGUCGAUGUCGGCUUUAGUUUUACAUUCAAUGAAUGUUGUUGGUACGUGAACAAAGUUUGGCAUAAUAUGGAUCCUUGUUUCUCAUGUUGGCAACAGCCCUAACACCAAUAUAUUUUCUUUCUUUCUUGUGUGUGUGAGUGGCUGUCUGGCAAACUUUGGGUGGGUGACUCGUGAGCUUCUUAUUUGAGCUCUUUUGUGAUGUUCAUUCUUCUACUUGAAAAUGCGAAUUUGAGCCUCCUUUUGUAUGCUUAAGUCGAUGUCGGCUUUAGUUUUACAUUCAAUGAAUGUUGUUGGUACGUGAACAAAGUUUGGCAUAAUAUGGAUCCUUGUUUCUCAUGUUGGCAACAGCCCUUAUACCAAUAUAUUUGCUUCUUUCUUGUGGGUGUGAGUGGCUGUUUGGCGAACUUUGUGUGGGUGACUCGUGAGCUUCUAAUUUUUAGCUCUUUUGUGAUGUUCAAUCUUCUGCUUGAAACAGGCGAAUCGGAGCUUCCUUUUAUAUGCUUGAAUCAAGGCCGGCUUGAGUUUACUUUUGUUGGGUGACUCGUGAGCUUCUGAAUUUGAGCUCUUUUGUGAUGUUCAAUCUUCUACUUGAAAAAGGCGAAUUUGAGUCUCCUUUUAUUAACUCAAGGUUUGCUUUAGUUUUACAUUCACCGAAUGUUGUUGGUUUGUGAAUAAAGUUUUGCGUAAUUUUGAUCCUUAUGUGAACAAAAGUUUCGCAUAAUUUUGAUCCUUGUUUCUCACGUUGCCAACAGCUCUUAUACCAAUAUAUUUGCUUUCUUAUUUGUGUGCGAGUGGCUGUCUGGGGAGCUUUGGGUGGGUGACUGGUGAGCUUUUAAUUUUGAGCUCUUUUCUGAUGUUCAAUUUUAUGCUUGAAAAAGGCGAAUCUGAGUCUCCUUUUAUAUGCUUUUAGAUCAAGAUUGGCUUUGGUUUACCUUGUUUAGGUGACUCGUGAGCUUCUGAUUUUGAGCUCUUUUGUGAUGUUCAAUCUUCUGCUUGAAUAAGGCGAAUCUUAGCCUCCUUUUAUAUGCAAAACAAGGUCUGCCUUAGUUUUACAUUCGGUGAAUGUUGUUCGUAUGUGAAUAAGGUUUGGCAUUAUUUUGAUCCUUAUUUCUCAUGUUGCCAAUAGCCCUUAUAUGAAUGUAUCUGCUUUCUUUCUUGUGUGUGUGAGUGGCUGUGUGGCGAACAUUGGGUGGGUGACUCGUGAGCUUCUGAUUUUGAGCUGUUUUGUGAUGUUCAAUCUUCUGCUUGAAAAAGGCGAAUCUCAGCCUCUUUUUGUUUGCUUUAGUUUUACAUUCGGUGAAUAUUGUUGGUAUGUGAACAAAGUUUGGCGUAAUUUUGAUCUUUCUUGUUGUUGAUAUGUGAACAAAGUUUGGCAUAAUUUUGAUCCUUGUUUCUCAUGUUGCCAACAGCCCUUAUACCAAUAUAUCUGCUUUCUUUUGGGUGUGUGAGUGGCUGUCUGGCGAACUUUGGGUGGGUGACUCGUGAGCUUUUGAUUGUGAGCUAUUUUGUGAUGUUCAAUUUUAUGCUUGAAAAAGGCGAAUUUGAGUCUCCUUUUAUAUACUUUUAAAUCAAGGUCGGCUCUCGUUUACCUUGGUUAGGUGAAUCGUGAGCUCCUGAUUUUGUGCUCUUUUGUGAUGUUCAAUCUUCUGCUUGAAAGAGGCUAAUCUUAGCCUCCUUUUAUAUGCAAAACAAGGUCAGCUUUAGUUUUACAUUCGGUGAAUUUUGUUCGAAUGUGAAAUAAGUUUUGCAUUAUUUUAAUCCUUGUUUCUCAUGUUGCCAACAGCCCUUAUAGGAAUAUAUAUGCUUUCUUUUUUGUGUGUGAGUGGCUGUGUGGUGAACUUUGGGUGGGUGACUCGAGAGCUUCUGAUUUGAGCUGUUUUGUGACUCGAGAGCCUGUUUUUGUUUGCUUAAAUCAAGGUCGGCUUUAGUUUUAUAUUCGGUGAAUGUUUUUAGUAUGUGAACAAAGUUUGGCGUAAUUUUGAUCCUUCUUGUUGUUGGUAUGUGAGCAAAGUUUGGCAUAAUUAUGAUCCUUAUUUCUCAUGUUGGCAACUGCCCUUGUACCAAUUUAUCUGCUUUCUUUCUUGUGUGUGGCUGUUUGGUGAACUUUGUGUAGGUGACUCGUGAGCUUCUGAUUUUGAGCUCUGUUGUGAUGUUUCAAUCUACUGCUUAAAAAAGGUGAAUCUGAUCCUCCUCUUUAUGCUUAAAUCAAGGUCGGCUUUAGUUUUAGAUUCGGUGAAUGUUGUUGGUAUGCAAACAAAGUUUAGCAUAAUUUUGAUCAUUGUUUCUCAUGUUGGCCACAGCCCUUGUACCAAUACCUAUCUGCUAUUUUUCUUGUGUGUGAGUGGCUGUUUUGCGAACUUUUGGUGGGUGACUCGUGAGCUUCUGAUUUUGAGCUCUUUUGUGAUCCAUUUUUUGCUUAAAAAAGAUGAAUCUUAUCCUCCUUUUACAUGCUUGAAUCUAGGUUGGCUUUGGGAGGUGUAUGGCUUCGGGGUGAGAUUUUUUAUCAUUAGUUUGCCCUGUGAGGUGGAUGGUUUCGGGGUGAUAGACUAGAUUUGAUCACAGUAGAGAAUGUUCAAAAUGAAAACAAAACAAAACUCACUAACAGCUGGUAUGCAUAUUUUAGAUAAAAAACGUAGAAAUAAUGCAACAACAACGUGGUCAAGUAUUUUGACUUAGCUGCAUUUAAGGCCACAUCGGUGAGCUCUGAUUUAUCAUCUUUAACGUUUCAUGUCACUUUAUUUUAAAGAUGGUACUUUUGGGUAAAUUGCAUGUGAGAUGUUCCAUUAUUUUAAAGAUGGAAGUGAAAUUUUUCUUUCGAGCGGUGAUACAUGAUUCGAAUGUAGGGGAGUUUUUUAAAAUUUUUGGUGGAACCCAGAUGACUCGCCAGCUAUUAGUAUGCGGGUAGGUUAUUUGGUAGUUAAUUUUGCUAACUUAGAUAUUUAUUUAUGUUAAUUACUGUAGCUAACUAUAAUUCCCUGGUAUAAUUAACUAUAGUUGUUUAGUUUAUGAACUUAAUUAGUAGUUAAUUAGCAAUGUUAAAUGCUUUAACUUAGAUAUAUAUUAGCUUAAUUACUAGUCAACUAUAGUUAGUAAUUUUAGAUAAAUCUUCAUAGCCAUAAUGACGUAGAUAAUCUACUUAGUUUGAGUAGUUAAUUAAGAAAAUCUAGUGAUUAACUAUAGUUGCUUAGUUUACGAACUUAGGUAGUCUUCUUGAACGUGGAGACUUGGAUUAGUAAAAUCGGAAAAUCCAACUCAAUAGAUUAAGUAAGAUAUAAUUCUAGUUAAGAAUAGGAGUAUAUAUGCUCAUUUUUAUUAUUAAAAGUUAAUACUCAUUUUUAAUGAUUAAUAAUUAUUAAACUCUCAAUUUUUACAAGUCAGUAAGAAUAGGAGUAUAUAUGCUGAUUUUGUGGCCCAUGCAAAAUCGAGUACCCCAAAGUCAAAUCUGCAUGGACGAUAGGCGCCCGUUUUCGUCAAACUAAACCCGUGCUUUUACAUUUAUAACCUUCCCAGUACAUUAUAUUUGUCUUUUUAACAGAAUAAAGCAUGCGCCACUUAUUUUUUUUUUUUCAGUAUGAUAUUACGUGAAGAAGGUUGGAUUCGAACUAUAUCAUUAGCGUUUUAUUUUACAAAGGUUGAGAGGCUUUUUUUACUUUUUUUGAGAAGCAACUGCUCAUUUAAAUCUUCCAUCAUUUUAAAAUUUUCCUUCAUGAUUCUUCUAUUGCUUUUGCUCAAAACAGUACACUUUUUCAAAUUAAAUUUAAUAAUAACUAUCUUUAGAGUUUGAGUUUUAUGUAUAAAACAGAAAGGUUGUUUUGAUAUUUAGUUAAUCCCACUAUUGAAAUAAUAGUUUUUAUGUUUUUUCAACCAUUUAAAAGUUAUUUCACUGAACCAUUUUUGCAAGUUAAGUUCAGAGAAAAUUUCGAAUUAACUAAGAGGUUUUUAAUAUUUAACAAUUUUUUUUAGUUUAAUUACUAUCAAUACUAUUAAUAUUUUGAUUUUGAUUUGUUUCAUUUUCAGUUUUAUUAUAAUUCUAUCAAUAUUUUAAUCUAUUAUUCUAUCAAUGUUUUGGUCUUUUUAUUAAUAUUUGGAUACUUCUAAUGAAAAUUGUCUAUUUUCAUUUUCAGUUUUAUUAUAACUCAACUGUUAUCGAAAAUUGUCUAUUUUCAUUUUUGUUAAUUGCGUAUGAGGUUUUUUAACUUGUGAUUUUUAAAUUAUAAUUCAACUAUUCUACUAUGUAUGAAUGUGAAAAUAGGAGAGUCUUUCGCUUUUUCGCACUUGAUAAAUAUAGGAAUAAAGGCUGAUUUGGUUCUUAGUAUGGUCAAAAAGGUCAGGUUGGACCUUUGGGGCUAAAUUAGCCCUUGAAUUAGUAUAAAAUGAUAAAAAAGAUUUUAUUUCACUUUUUAGGUUCAAGUUAAUUAAUUUCUGAAUUUAUUUAAAUUUGCUGAAAAUCAUAUUUGACAUUUUGAAUUGAUUUAAUUUCUAAUUUUUUAUUGUGCUUAUAUUGUGAAAAACCAUAAUAAUUAAUAAUAAUGUAUAAAUAUAUAUUAUGUUAAUUUAAAAUUAACCUCUAUUAUGAUAUUACUCGUGCGUUUUUCGUGUUGGAUAAAUUGAAGUUAUAAUGAAUAUUUAUAAAUUUAUUAUAUUACACAAUGUUUUUAUGUUGAAUAGAUAGAUUGAAGUUAUAAUGAAUAUUCAUAAAUUUAUUAUAUUACAAAAAAUGAUGUUUUGUGAAUUUAAAUUUAUAUUCAUAUUUGUCGAAAAAGUUAGAUCUAAGUGUUGGUAGUGUAAAAAUAGAUAAAAAAUCAAUGAUACUAUAUUAAAUUAAAUUAAAUUAAUUAUUAAUUUAUAAAAAUAAAAAAAGUUUAAGGGUUACAUUCGUUAAAAAGUGACAUGGAAUUUUUUUAAUUAUUUUAUAUAAGUUAGAGAAUAUAAAUAAUAUUUUAUUUAGAAGAUAUAUUAUGAAAAAAAAUGUUUUUUUACUUUUUUUUUUUUGUGGUUGUGUGAAAAAUUGAGGGUUUAUUUGGAUAGAUGAUUGUUUUACGUGAAUUUUUUAUUGAUCGACAAAUACAUAAUUAAGAAUUUCAAAAUUCUAUGCUUUAUCUUUUUUUAAUUUAUUUUUUAAUAAGUAUAUAUAUGAUGAUGAGACAUGUUAAUUUUUAUAUUUUAUUUUUUAAAAUAUUUGAAUUUAUUUUAAUUAUAAUUUAAAAUAUUUAGGGGAGAGAAAUAAAUAUAUUGUUUUUAAUUUUCUUUUUUUUUUUUUACAUUUAUAUGAUUUUAUAGGAUAUGUUUUUAAAAAAUAAAUUUUCAAAUAGCAAGAGAAAAAAAACAAAAAUUGUAUUCUUCGUAAUCUUCUAUUUAUUAAUAAAAUUUUUUAUUGAAAUUACUUGAUUUAUUUAUUUAUUUUAAAUUUAUAACUCACCAAUAUUGGGAACAUAAUUUGCUUUUUCAUUUAUUGACUUAGCUUUAGUCCUUUUUCAGAUUUUUGAAAUUCAAAUUGAUAAUUUUCUUUUCUUGUUAUAUAUUUUGAGAAGAGUUUUAUUCUAAAUAAUAGUUUUAUUAUCACUUUUAACAAGAAAAAUAGAUGAUCUUUUUAUGAUUAAGUAUUUUUAACAUUUUGAUAUUUUUUCUCUUAUAUUCUAAAUCUGUUUGACUAAAAAUAAAAUAAAAAAAUAAUAUUUAUGAUAUUGAAAAAAAAAAAAAGAAUUAUAUUUUAGGGCACUUUUGGGGUUUCAAGAAUUUGUGUAUACAUAUAUUUUUUUUAUCUAAUACACUGGGUGAAGAAUUAUCAUAAUUUGAUUUUUUUUUUUUUUUUAAAUACCAUAAUUGAACGUUAAAAUUAUUAGAAAAUAAGAGAGACAAAAGAAAAAUAUUAAAAAAGGAGAAAAUAUUAGAAAAUAUUAGGAAGUGUCACAUUAACACUUGCAAAAGCUCAAUGUUAUUAUGUAUAUAAUGGCCUUUAUCUUUACUUAAAUUUUAAAUUUAAAUAUACUAGUGUUUAUUUUAAUAUGAUAAACAAUGUUUAAAAGGCAAGUAUAUUUAAUAAAAUAAUUAUAGACUAUAAAUGAAAAAUUAUUAUUAAUUAUAAGAUUAGACUUCAAUUUUUUUAAAAUGAUAAUGUUAAACUUUAAUUAGAACCGAUUUGAAAAAAAAAAAAAAAACUAAAUAAUAUGAUCCUAUGUUAUUGAAUAUUGAUUUGAGUUGUUGAAAAACUUAUAUAUAUAUAUAUAUAUAUAUAACAUGUGAAUGGUAUUUUUUAAAUAUGUUUUUAUAUAUUCUUUGUAUUUUAAAUUUUAUUUUAAAAUUAAAAUAAUAAUCUGUUUUUUCAAAUAAUUAAUAUGGUAAAAUAAUCAAUCAUUGAAAAAAGCUCUAAAAAUAAAGUUUGAUUCUAAUUAUCUAGUCAAUUAAUAAAUGAGUUGAGUUUGAGUUCAGAUUCGAGCUUAUUUUUAAUUAUGGACAUGAUAAAUUUUCUAAUUUUAAAAUAUUAACACCUGUAUUAUUCAAUGCUUGAAAUUCAGCUUUAAAAUCUUAAAAUUUAAUUUUUCAAUUUCACUAAAAAUGACGCAGAAACAUAAUCAUUUAAAGUAUUAAUUAUAAUAAACAUGAUAAAAUGAUCCAAUAAAUAUAAUAGAUAUAUAAAUAGUUUAAGUGUUUGGUAAAUUGGCAAAAGAAAAAUAUAUAUAUGAAAAAUAAAUAGUUGAGUGUUUGGUAAAAUUACUUAAAUUUUACUUUUAAUAGUUACUUAAAAAUAAUUUAAUCUAUCAAAAUUACUAAAAAUGAUAUUAGUUAAAUAAUAAGCUAAUUAAAAAUAAGGGUAGUGUUUGAAUGAAUAAAAAAGCAUAAGCAGAAACAAACACGCAAUUGUUUGAAUGAAUAAAAAGCAUAAGCAGAAACUUGAAAUUCUAUACUAAACUUUUAGAUUUCCUCAUGUGAACAUUAUUAAGCAUUCUUUUUCUAUUAUUUCUCCUUUUGGUGGCUAUGUGAUCGGUGGUGAACAGUGAUGGUAACAUUGUCUACGAUGAUUAAUAAAUUUAAAAAUAUAAAUUUAUAAGAUUAUAAUAAGUUUAUUAAUUUUCGAAAUAUAUUUUAUUCUUUUGAAAAUAGGAAAUCAUUUUCCUUAAAAAUGACUUAAUUUUUCGUAAUCGAUAAAAUAUUUUCUAUUGAUUUAUUUUCUUAAAUCCGUCAAGCAAUAAAAAAUUAUGAAAAAUAUUUUUUUUUUUUGACAUAAAUAGGAAAUCGUUAUUUUAAUGAAAUAAAUAUAGCCUAAUUAAAUUUUUUUUGACAACCAUACAUAUUAUUCUUUUUUCCCAAAUCUAGCUAGUUAAAUAUCGAAUGUUAUUUUUUAUUAUUUAAUCAAGUUAAACAGCUAAUUAUACAAUUAUUUUUAUCAAACACUUACAAUUUAAACUAACAUACGAUCAGCUACCGGUUAAAAGCUAAUAGUUAACUUCUAAUAAAUGUUAAUUCUACUAAAAUAACUAAUAUUGUUGAAAAUCCUUACUAAAAUAACUAUAUUAUUUUGAUACAUUUAAUCUCUUCAUCAAUAAAGGCUAUUUUAAAUUUACUUCUUCUAUUUUAGUUUUGGCAGUUGAGUUACCAAAUAGAGCUUCUUUAUUAUCAACUUGUUUAAAUCUCAAAUAAAAAAAUGUCAUUGCUUUUGUAUAUUUCCUCUCUUGUGUUUUGCACUAAAUUGCUUGGUUUAAAAGAAAAACUAGUGUUGCAAUUCGUGCGAUAUGCAAAGCUAUAUUAAAUGAUGAAAUGAUCUUUUAUAACAUCAUUCAAAAAUAUUAUACAAUAAAAUAAUCAAUUGUAUCUUAUUGAGAUACGUUGAAAAGUUGCAAUAUUAAAAUAUGUCUUCUUAAGCAUCAUGUGAAGUCUUUUAUAAAGUAUACGAUAGCAAAAAUCAUGCAUGGUAUGAUCUAUAUCAAAAAAUGCAUACACACUAUUAAUGUAAUUUUCAGAAGUGAUAAUAAUUUUGAGAAUUUAACUAAUUAUAUUGAAAUAAAAAAUUAAAUAUAUUUUUUAUCUUAUGCUUAUGAUUUAUUACUUUAUUUAGUAUAGUGUGUCUUAAACGUGUGGAUAUCUUACUUUUUAAAAAAUUAUCAUAUCAUGUACAUUCUCGUAUCUCGUGUAGCGUGUGCGUGCAACCUAUCUUUUAGUAUAUGAGACUACUCCAUACACUAAGUUAAUCAACUAAGGUUUUUUUAUUACUAAUAAAAAAUUAUGUGUUUUUUUUAAUUUAUUUUUGUGCUAUUGAAAUAAGAGAUUAAGUUUUUUUUUUAACUUUUAUGUUUAUAAUUUAUUAUAAAUAAUUAUUUAUUUAUUUAUUUACAAUAUUAAUGUAUUACUUAUUUAGUGUAGUGUGUCCUACGUGUGUAGACGUUUUACCUUUUUUAAAAUUGUUGUACCCCAUAUAUUCUCGUCUCUCAUGUCUCAUGUCCGUGCAACCUAACUUCGGGUAUAUAAGACUACUUCAUACACCAAGCUAAUCAACCAAAAUUUUUUCUUAUUACCAAUAAAAAAAGACGUGUUUUUUUCUAAUUUGUUUUUGUGUCAUUGAAAUAACAAAUUAAGUAUUUUUUAUGUUCAUGAUUUUUUAUAAAUGAUUAUUUAUUUAUUUGAAAUAUCAAUAUAUUACUUAUUUAAUGUAGUGUAUCCUAAGCAUGUGGAUGUUCUACUUUUAAAAAUUGUAAUCCGUAUGUUUCCAUAUCUUAUGUCUUGUGUUCAUGCAACCUAGCUUCUGGUAUAUGAGACUACUCCAUACACCAAGCUAAUCAACCAAGAUUUUUUUUUAUUACCAACAAAAAUGAUGUGUUUUUUUUAUUUUUUUUUUGUGGCGUUCAAAUAAAAAAUUAAGAAUUUUUUAUCUUAUGUUUAUAACUCAUUAUAAAUGAUUGUUUAUUUAUUUAAAAUAUCAAUGUAUUACUUAUUUAAUAUACUAUGUCCUUGUGGAUGUCUUACCUUUUUAAAAAUUAUUGUAUCUUGCACGUUUCUGUAUCUCAUGUCCUGUGUUCGGAUAACCUAACUCCUGGUAUAUAAGACUACUCAAUAAAUCAAGUUGAUCAACCAAGAAUUUUUUUACUAUCAAUAAAGAAUGAAGUAUUUUUUUUAAUUUGUUUUUGCGUCGUUGAAAUAAGAAAUUAACUUUUUUAUUUUAUGUUUAUAAUUUAUUACAAAUGAUUGUUUAUUUAUUUUCUUUCAGUAUGUUCUAAGCGUGUGAUUGUCCUAAUUUUCUAAAAAUUAUCGUACCACGUACGUUUCCGUAUAUUGUGUCCUGUAUUCAUAUAACUUAGCUCUUGAUAUAUGAAACUACUUCACACAUCAAGCUAAUCAAUCAAUUUUUUUUAUUACCAAUAAAAAUGAAGUCUUUUUUUCAAUUUAUUUUUGUGUCAUUGAAAGAAGAUUUUUUUUUUUCAUUUUAUGUUUAUGAUUUAUUAUAAAUGAUUAUUUAUUUAUUUAAAAUAUUAAUGUAUUACUUAUUUAAAGUAUUGUGUCCUAAGUAUGUGGAUGUCCUACCUUUUUAAAAAAUUGUCGUAUUCGUACGUUCCUGUAUCUUGUGUCCCGUGUCUGUGCAAUAUGGCUCCUGGCAUAUGAGACUACUCAAUACACCAAGCUAACAAAGGUUUUUUCUUAGUACCAAUAAAAAUGAAGUGUUUUUUUAAUUUAUUUUUGUGUCACUGAAAUAAGAAAUUUAGUUUUGUUUAUUUUAUAUUUAUGAUUUAUUAUAAAUUAUUGUUUAUUUAUUUGAAAUAUUAAUAUAUUACUUAUUUAGUGUAUUGUGUUCUAAGCGUGUAAAUAUCCUAUCUUUUUAAAAAAUUAUCGUAUUCGUACGUUCUUGUAUCUUGUGUCCUAUAUCCGUAUAACCUAGCUCUUGAUAUAUUAAACUACUCAACACACCAAGCUAAUUAACCAAGAUUUUUUUAUUACCAAUAAAAAAUGAAAUUUUUUUUAAUUUGUUUUUUGUGUCAUUGAAAUAAGAAAUUAACUCUUUUUAUUUUAUGUCUGUAAUUAUUGUAAAUGAUUAUUUAUUUAUUUAAAAUAUUAAUAUAUUACUUAUUUACUAUAAUGUGUCCUAAGCGUGUGAUUAUCCUAUUUUUUUAAAAAUAGUCGUAUCACGUGCGUUCCUGUAUCUCAUGUCUCGUGUUCAUACAACCUACCUCAUGGUAUAUGAGACUACUUCAAGCUAAUCAACCUAGAUUUUUUUUGUUACCAAUAAAAAUGAAGUGUUUUUUUAAUUUAUUUUUGUGUUCUUGAAAUAAUAAAUUUAGUAUUUUUUAUUUUAUGUUUAUGAUUUAUUAUAAAUUAUUGUUUAUUUAUUUGAACUAUUAAUGUAUUGUGUAUUAAGUGUGUGGAUAUCCUACCUUUUUAAAAAAUUAUUGUAUUCGUACGUUCCUGUAUCUCGUGUCUCUUGUUCGUGCAAUAUGACUCACUGUAUAUGAGACUACUCAAUACACUAAGCUAAUCAAUCAAGAUUUUUUUAUUAGCAAUAAAAAUGAAGUAUUUUUUAAUUUAUUUUUGUAUCACUGAAAUAAGAAAUUUAGUGUUUUUUUUUAUUUUAUGUUUAUGAUUUAUUAUAAAUGAUUGUUUAUUUAUUUGAAAUAUUAAUGCAUGACUUAUUUAGUGUAUUGUGUUCUAAGCGUGUGGAUUAUCCUAUCUUUUUAAAAAAUUGUCGUAUUCGCACGUCCAUGUAUCUCGUGUCCCAUGUCCGUGUAACCUAGCUCCUAGUAUAUGAAACUACUCAAUACAUCAAGCUAAUCAACUAAUAGUUUUUUUAUUACUAAUAAAAAAUAAAUUUUUUUAAUUUGUUUUUUGUAUCAUUGAAAUAAGAAAUUAACAUUUUUUUAUUUUAUGUUUAUAAUUUAUUAUAAAUGAUUGUUUAUUUAUUUAAAAUAUUGAUAUAUUACUUAUUUAGUGUAAUGUAUCCUAAGCGUGUUAAUGUCCUACUUUUUCAAAACUUAUCAUAUCACGUACGGUCGCGUAUUCCGUGUCAUGUGUUCGUACAACCUAACUCCUGGUAUAUAAGACUAUUCCAUACACCAAACAAAUCAACCAAGAUUUUUUUUUAUUACCAAUAAAUAUGAAGUAUUUUUUUAAUUUGUUAUUGUGUCAUUGAAAUAAUAAAUUUUAGUGUUUUUUUAUUUUAUGUUUAUGAUUUAUUAUAAAUGAUUGUUUAUUUAUUUGAAAUAUUAACAUGUUACUUAUUUAAUGUAUUGUGUACUAAGCGUGUGGAUAUCCUAUCUUUUAAAAAAAUUAUCGUUUUUGUACGUUUUUGUAUCUCGUGUCCUGUGUCCAUGUAAUAUGGCUCCUGGUAUAUGAGACAACUCAAUACACUAAGUUAAUCAAUCAAAGGUUUUUUUUUUUAUUAUUACCAAUAAAAAUGAAGUGUUUUUUAAAUUUAUUUUUGUAUCACUAAAAUAAGAAAUUUAAUGUUUUUUGUUUUAUUUUUAUGAUUUAUUGUAAAUAAUUAUUUAUUUAUUUGAAAUAUUAAUGUAAUAAUUAUUUAAUGUAUUGUAUUCUAAGUAUGUGGAUGUCAUAGCUUUUAAAAAAUUAUCGUAUCCAGAUGUUCCUUUAUCUCGUGUUCCAUGUUUGUGUAACUUAGCUCGUAUGAGACUACUCGAUAUACCAAGUUAAUCGACCAAGGUUUUUUUUUUAUUACCAAUAAAAAUGAAGUGUUUAUUUAUUUUUGUGUCAUUGAAAUAAGAAAUUUACCGUUUUUUUAUUUUAUAUUUAUAAUUUAUUAUAAAUGACUGUUUAUUUAUUUGAAAUAUUAAUGCAUCAUUUAUUUAGUGUAUUAUAUUCUAAGCGUGUAUAUAUUCUAUUUUUUAAAAAAAUUAUUGUAUUCUGUAUGUUCCUAAUUAUAAUUUUUAAAUUGUUUAUAUAUUAUUAUUUAAUAAUAACAUAUUAUUUAUUCACAUUUUUAAGCGCAUGGAUUACUUAUUAAUUGUUUUGUAAAAAGAAAUAAAUUUCUUUUAAUUCUUAUCUCUCCCUUUCUUUCUUUUGCUCAAAUUUCUUUUGAUUUGAGAUUCACUCUUUCGAUUGUGAUCUUUCUCCUCAUCUCCUAUUUUUCUAGAAUAAAAUUUUGUUUCAGUUUCUAGAUUUUCUUUUCAAGUUUCUGACUUUAUCAUUUUUCCUCUAAAGAAUCUGUUUUAACCUUUUUUAAAAUCAUUUUUUUUGAAUUUAUUUUUUGUUCGAACUGGGCUUCAUGAAUUUCUACCUGUUGUAGCCAAUGACUUGGGUUUGAUUUCGAAGAAAACUAUGGCGAAAAAUAAAUUCACUUUAGAUCUAAAAUUUUCUGCAUUCAAAAAAUAAGCUUGACGAUUUUCAGGCUGUGAUUUAGGGUGGACAAAAUAUGCAUUUGGCCAUUUAUAAAUAUAUAAUUUAUAAUACUUAACCGGCGCCAUCGCGUCAGGUUAUACACUCGUAUACUCUAAAAUGAA
RNAcentral lists this long non-coding RNA (24518 nucleotides) under Jatropha curcas. RNAcentral's name for it is "long non-coding RNA (JCUR_LNC002975)". Lineage: Eukaryota; Viridiplantae; Streptophyta; Magnoliopsida; Malpighiales; Euphorbiaceae. The record is from RNAcentral.